AAGUCGUAACAAGGUUUCCGUAGGUGAACCUGCGGAAGGAUCAUUAUUACGUUAUCCAACGUCAAACCCAAUUGUGAAUUGUGUUUAUCGGAGUUUCGUGGUUUGGUUAGAGUGUUCAUGUCCAACUUCGUUGUUGUGGACUCUAACUAAAUCCUUGACGAAAGUCAAAACUCUGUUAAGAAAUUCCCGUCAUGAACAAUUUCGCCAAUUUUAACUUUUAACCCCAUGUACAAAAUUUGAACUAAUCUUUGUUCAAAGACUUAAGUGUCUUUGGAUCAAAUAACCGAAAUUAAGAAAACAACUCUUAACAACGGAUAUCUUGGUUCUC
RNAcentral lists this unclassified non-coding RNA (328 nucleotides) under fungal sp. Its description in RNAcentral is "partial internal transcribed spacer region". The stretch from base 1 to 46 matches the Rfam family "Eukaryotic small subunit ribosomal RNA", at positions 1786 to 1831 of the family's 1831-position model. The record is from RNAcentral. Lineage: Eukaryota; Fungi.